Hydrogenophaga sp. A37 is the source of this 118-nucleotide non-coding RNA. The record is from Rfam. Lineage: Bacteria; Pseudomonadati; Pseudomonadota; Betaproteobacteria; Burkholderiales; Comamonadaceae.
CUUGAAGACCGCUAGGGUUCCGGGCGCUGCUCAUACAUAUAUGUAGAGCGCGCCGUCUGGUCCGAGAGCAGUCGGCCACGAUCGUGUGGCUCCACGGAGGGACAAAAGCCCGGGAGAC